CUUUUAGAACCGUUUGCCCCUCCCCAGGGUCAGACACAGUGGCAGGAGAGCAGUGGAGGUCUUUGAUUGGUCAGGUGGUCUGUGAUUGGUCAGGAGGUCUAUGAUUGGUCAGGAGGUCUUUGAUUGGUCAGGAGGUCUAUGAUUGGUCAGGAGGUCUUUGAUUGGUCAGUAGGUCUAUGAUUGGUCAGGAGGUCUGUGAUUGGUCAGACGGUCUGUGAUUGGUCAGGAGGUCUAUGAUUGGUCAGGAGGUCUGUGAUUGGUCAGGAGGUCUAUGAUUGGUCAGACACAGUGGCAGGAGAGCGGGUCUCUGUGUGAGCUGGUGAGGACUUGGACUC
This is a long non-coding RNA of Sebastes umbrosus (honeycomb rockfish), 335 nucleotides long. RefSeq lists it as uncharacterized. The record is from RefSeq and is a predicted model, not a curated record. The transcript has 3 exons. Lineage: Eukaryota; Metazoa; Chordata; Actinopteri; Perciformes; Sebastidae.